This 324-nucleotide ribosomal RNA is filed under the name Salmonella enterica subsp. enterica serovar Worthington str. BCH-5715. RNAcentral describes it as "bacterial SSU rRNA". It matches the Rfam family "Bacterial small subunit ribosomal RNA", at positions 1022 to 1346 of the family's 1533-position model. Lineage: Bacteria; Pseudomonadati; Pseudomonadota; Gammaproteobacteria; Enterobacterales; Enterobacteriaceae. The record is from RNAcentral.
GGGAACUGUGAGACAGGUGCUGCAUGGCUGUCGUCAGCUCGUGUUGUGAAAUGUUGGGUUAAGUCCCGCAACGAGCGCAACCCUUAUCCUUUGUUGCCAGCGAUUAGGUCGGGAACUCAAAGGAGACUGCCAGUGAUAAACUGGAGGAAGGUGGGGAUGACGUCAAGUCAUCAUGGCCCUUACGACCAGGGCUACACACGUGCUACAAUGGCGUAUACAAAGAGAAGCGACCUCGCGAGAGCAAGCGGACCUCAUAAAGUGCGUCGUAGUCCGGAUUGGAGUCUGCAACUCGACUCCAUGAAGUCGGAAUCGCUAGUAAUCGUG